UUUUGUAUAAUGGGUCAGCGACUUAUAUUCUGUAGCAAGGUUAACCGUAUAGGGGAGCCGAAGGGAAACCGAGUCUUAACUGGGCGUUAAGUUGCAGGGUAUAGACCCGAAACCCGGUGAUCUAGCCAUGGGCAGGUUGAAGGUUGGGUAACACUAACUGGAGGACCGAACCGACUAAUGUUGAAAAAUUAGCGGAUGACCUGUGGCUGGGGGUGAAAGGCCAAUCAAACCGGGAGAUAGCUGGUUCUCCCCGAAAGCUAUUUAGGUAGCGCCUCGUGAACUCAUCUUCGGGGGUAGAGCACUGUUUCGGCUAGGGGGCCAUCCCGGCUUACCAACCCGAUGCAAACUACGAAUACCGAAGAAUGUUAUCACGGGAGACACACGGCGGGUGCUAACGUCCGUCGUGAAGAGGGAAACAACCCAGACCGCCAGCUAAGGUCCCAAAGUCAUGGUUAAGUGGGAAACGAUGUGGGAAGGCACAGACAGCCAGGAUGUUGGCUUAGAAGCAGCCAUCAUUUAAAGAAAGCGUAAUAGCUCACUGGUCGAGUCGGCCUGCGCGGAAGAUGUAACGGGGCUAAACCAUGCAC
Molecule: ribosomal RNA, 587 nt
Filed under: Enterobacter hormaechei
Lineage: Bacteria; Pseudomonadati; Pseudomonadota; Gammaproteobacteria; Enterobacterales; Enterobacteriaceae
Also listed under: 2 other names
Description: partial 23S ribosomal RNA
Rfam family: Bacterial large subunit ribosomal RNA
Source: RNAcentral